Molecule: ribosomal RNA, 302 nt
Filed under: bacterium symbiont of Haemaphysalis obesa
Lineage: Bacteria
Description: bacterial SSU rRNA
Rfam family: Bacterial small subunit ribosomal RNA
Source: RNAcentral
GCACUGGCUAACUCUGUGCCAGCAGCCGCGGUAAUACAGAGAGUGCAAGCGUUAAUCGGAAUCACUGGGCGUAAAGCGCGCGUAGGUGGAUAUUUAAGUCGGAUGUGAAAGCCCUAGGCUUAACCUAGGAACUGCAUUCGAUACUGGAUAUCUCGAGUAUGGUAGAGGGAAGUGGAAUUUCCGGUGUAGCGGUGAAAUGCGUAGAUAUCGGAAAGAACACCAGUGGCGAAGGCGGCUUCCUGGACCAAUACUGACACUGAGGCGCGAAAGCGUGGGGAGCAAACAGGAUUAGAGACCCUGGU